CCUACGGGGGGCAGCAGUGGGGAAUAUUGCACAAUGGGCGCAAGCCUGAUGCAGCCAUGCCGCGUGUAUGAAGAAGGCCUUCGGGUUGUAAAGUACUUUCAGCGAGGAGGAAGGCAUUAAGGUUAAUAACCUUAGUGAUUGACGUUACUCGCAGAAGAAGCACCGGCUAACUCCGUGCCAGCAGCCGCGGUAAUACGGAGGGUGCAAGCGUUAAUCGGAAUUACUGGGCGUAAAGCGCACGCAGGCGGUUUGUUAAGUCAGAUGUGAAAUCCCCGGGCUC
Molecule: ribosomal RNA, 280 nt
Filed under: uncultured Pseudomonadota bacterium
Lineage: Bacteria; Pseudomonadati; Pseudomonadota
Description: uncultured proteobacterium partial 16S ribosomal RNA
Rfam family: Bacterial small subunit ribosomal RNA
Source: RNAcentral